This 253-nucleotide ribosomal RNA is filed under the name uncultured bacterium. Its description in RNAcentral is "partial 16S ribosomal RNA". It matches the Rfam family "Bacterial small subunit ribosomal RNA", at positions 524 to 776 of the family's 1533-position model. The record is from RNAcentral.
UACGGGGGGGGCAAGCGUUGUUCGGAAUUACUGGGCGUAAAGGGUUUGUAGGUGGCCAACUAAGUCAGACGUGAAAUCCCUCAGCUUAACUGGGGAACUGCGUCUGAUACUGGUUGGCUUGAGUGCAGGAGAGGAACGCGGAAUUCCAGGUGUAGCGGUGAAAUGCGUAGAUAUCUGGAGGAACACCGGUGGCGAAGGCGGCGUUCUGGACUGCAACUGACACUGAGAAACGAAAGCCAGGGUAGCAAACGGG